UACAGAGGUCCCAAGCGUUGUUCGGAUUCACUGGGCGUAAAGGGUGCGUAGGCGGCCGGGUAAGUCUGAUGUGAAAUCCCGCAGCUCAACUGCGGAACUGCAUCGGAUACUCUCCGGCUAGAGGAAUGGAGGGGAGACUGGAAUUCUCGGUGUAGCAGUGAAAUGCGUAGAUAUCGAGAGGAACACCAGUGGCGAAGGCGAGUCUCUGGACAUUUCCUAACGCUGAGGCACGAAAGCCAGGGGAGCAAACGGG
Molecule: ribosomal RNA, 253 nt
Filed under: uncultured bacterium
Lineage: Bacteria
Description: partial 16S ribosomal RNA
Rfam family: Bacterial small subunit ribosomal RNA
Source: RNAcentral